Molecule: long non-coding RNA, 1903 nt
Organism: Gallus gallus (chicken)
Lineage: Eukaryota; Metazoa; Chordata; Aves; Galliformes; Phasianidae
Source: Ensembl
GAGGAGUGCUGGAUAGCCCAAGCACCGCUCUGCUCCCUGGUUGAUGGCAUGACUGCUGUGCCGCUCUCUGCAUGGCUGCCAAGUCUGCAAACACACCUACCCCUGGAGCAGCUGGACUCCUGCUGGAUCCGCUUUCCCUCCUGCACUCAGCAGCUUAUUAGUGGAAACACUGCUUGGGGAGCCAAGCCAGAGAAAGUGGGCCAAACUCUGAAGUGGGUGUGCAACUGCAAACUCUCGUUUUCUUCACAUCUAUCUCAUGAUAAACCUAUGUACAUGAAGUCGCACUGGUUUAGCUGCAUCAUUUUGCAUGAGCAAGACCCAGAAGCCUCUGCAUUGCACUUUUGAAAGCUUGUGUGGCAGUAAGGACCUCAAAGGAAGCCUGACUUUCCUCCAUAGCACCAUGACUCCCUCUGACUGAUGUGGUACACACUGCACUGACAUGGAGGAAGGCGCUUUGGGCAGGUUUUGACUCUUGAAGUCAGUAGAGCAAGGGCACAAAGUGUAUGAACUUACCUAGCAUCUUACCCUUUCCCUGGCUUUUGGGACCAAGUUGCAGACAUCUCACCAAAUCUUCAAGCUAAGUAUUGGUUAAUCAUUUGCUAUUCUUCAGCUGUGGCUGAUGCUUUUCAGCUAAGUUAUUUCAGCAGAAGUUUUCAAAACAAAAAUGUGUAUCCAGUGAACUUCAAAAUGGCCAUUACGUGUUUACUGUUCAAACUUUGCUGCAAAAACCCUGGCAAAUGCCCAGUAGGGAGCACUUCCAAAAAUGGCUUCUUUGUGCUAGGCAGGUGUGACAAGGCAGUCUUUACAAGACUGACUUAAGUUUCUUAGCCUUUAAGGAUUAUAAAAAACUUGCUUUGUUUUCUUCUGGGGAAGGCAUCAUAGAUGGGUUAGCUCUAUCUGAAUUCUGGGUGAUGCUGCAGUUUUUUAGUAUUAAUACUUGUAAUAUUUUGCCUGGCAAGUAGGAACAUGUUGGGACUUUCAUACACCUGUGUCAAUAUUGUUAACAAUUACGUCUCUGCUCAGAACUUGGAAAGAUUUGCUGAUGACGCAGGAGAACUUCAUCGAGUGCUUUCUUCAGAAGAGAACUGGUACCUUAUGUCAGCAUUAUAGGAGUGCUUAUUGUUUGAAUAUUAGGACUGCCAGCUCUUGGGAAGUCCUCAGGCUUUAAUCUGGAAAAGUCAGAAUCAGGAAAAGUUCUGUUGUCUCUUGUUUAUACCAAAUUAGUGAACACAUUUUUUUGCCUGCAAAUUCUGUUUUGCUAAUAAAGGAGUGUGGUUUGUUCCUCCUCCCAGAUCAUAUAACACGUAAAUAAGCAAAAAUGACCACAGGAAUGGCAAGAUCCCAGAGAGCAACAUGAGUGUGUGAUCACUGUGGACAUGCUGUAUGCUCUCCCCAAAAGGACUCCUGAAGCAUCGGCUGGGUAUAAUGUUUGCUGCACAGGAAGAGAGAACUUGCUAAUGGCACAGUAAUUCAGCCCCUUGGAGUGGAUUCUCAUUUGAUGUUAAUAUGUGUAUAAUAUGUGUAGCUCAACUGGCUCCAGAGGUCCUCCUCUGAUUUACACCCGCAAAGAGUUUGACCUUUAUUUUCUGCUGAUGGCAGUGCCAGGAUUAUCAGGACAAAAUACAGAAAAUAGGCAUUUAGGGAAUAAACUAAGUAUUGAAAAGGUAGGCAUUUAGGGAAUAAACUAAGUAUUGAAAAGGUUUCUUUUUAUUACCAGCCACAUAGAGGUUGGGUUCUGCUCUGAAGAUUUCAAUCUGGUGAAAGCCUCUGCUCAACUCCGUAUUUCUGCUGUGCAUUGCUGCUGCCUUACACAGAGCAGGUGGCCCACCGGUAUGGACUGAAGUCAUUCCUCAACAUUUACAGCUUGAAAAGCAUUUUAGGAUAUUCUGAGAUGAAAAGCACU